RNAcentral lists this transfer RNA (84 nucleotides) under Deltaproteobacteria bacterium. RNAcentral's name for it is "tRNA-Leu". It matches the Rfam family "tRNA". Rfam says of the family: Transfer RNA (tRNA) molecules are approximately 80 nucleotides in length. Lineage: Bacteria; Pseudomonadati; Myxococcota; Myxococcia. RNAcentral also lists the same sequence under 2 other names. The record is from RNAcentral.
GCGGAAGUGGCGGAAUUGGCAGACGCGCAUGAUUCAGGUUCAUGUAUCCGCAAGGAUGUGGAGGUUCGAGUCCUCUCUUCCGCA